Molecule: ribosomal RNA, 253 nt
Filed under: uncultured bacterium
Lineage: Bacteria
Description: partial 16S ribosomal RNA
Rfam family: Bacterial small subunit ribosomal RNA
Source: RNAcentral
UACGGAGGGUGCAAGCGUUGUCCGGAAUCACUGGGCGUAAAGGGCGCGUAGGCGGCUCAUGAAGGCUGUGGUGAAAGUCCGGGGCUCAACCUCGGAUCGGCCGUGGCGACUCGUGGGCUGGAGCACUGUAGAGGCGGGUGGAAUUCCGGGUGUAGCGGUGGAAUGCGUAGAGAUCCGGAAGAACACCGGUGGCGAAGGCGGUCUGCUGGGGUCGAACUGACACUGAGGCGCGACAGCGUGGGGAGCAAACAGG